Myotis myotis is the source of this 1353-nucleotide RNA transcript. It is a transcript of the gene named SEC11 homolog A, signal peptidase complex subunit, with no coding region annotated. The transcript has 7 exons. The record is from RefSeq and is a predicted model, not a curated record. Lineage: Eukaryota; Metazoa; Chordata; Mammalia; Chiroptera; Vespertilionidae.
UCCUCCGCGACGGGCCGCGGGGCCGAGCGCGGAAGUGGGCCCCGGUCGGUUCUCAGCCGGCGACGUCCGGAGGGGGAGAGCCCUCCUACAGCGAGGCCAGGCCGGAAGGCCGGAUCAGGCAGGUCGCGAGCCCCUUUGCCCACUCCGGGCAGCGAAGGGGCGGGCCGCGCCGGUUGCCGCCCCGGAAGCGGAAGUGAGGGCGCCGCGGGUCCUGUCCAGUGCGAGCUCAGCCCGGCGUCGGUCGUUCCGCCCGCCGGUCAGAUCGCGCCCUCUCUUCUGCCGGUGUCCUCCUCACCGGCCCCACCAUGCUGUCUCUAGAUUUUUUGGACGAUGUGCGGCGGAUGAACAAGCGGCAGCUGUAUUAUCAAGUCCUAAAUUUUGGAAUGAUUGUCUCCUCAGCACUAAUGAUCUGGAAGGGGCUAAUGGUCGUAACUGGAAGUGAAAGUCCAAUUGUAGUGGUGCUCAGUGGCAGCAUGGAACCUGCAUUUCAUAGAGGAGAUCUUCUCUUCCUAACAAAUCGAGUGGAAGAUCCCAUACGAGUGGGAGAAAUUGUUGUUUUUAGAAUAGAAGGAAGAGAGAUUCCUAUAGUCCAUCGAGUCUUGAAGAUUCAUGAAAAGCAAAAUGGACAUAUCAAGUUUUUGACCAAAGGAGACAAUAACGCGGUUGAUGACCGAGGCCUCUAUAAACAAGGACAACAUUGGCUAGAGAAAAAAGAUGUUGUGGGGAGAGCGAGGGGAUUUUAACAGGAGAACAAAUCAGUGGAAGACAGGAAUUAUUUGUUCCUUAUAUUGGGAUUGUGACAAUCCUCAUGAAUGACUAUCCUAAGUUUAAGUAUGCAGUACUCUUUCUGCUGGGCCUCUUCGUGCUGGUUCAUCGUGAGUAAGAAGCUGCCUUGCUGUUCCUGGGAGGUGCCGUACUUUGUGUUACUGAUGUUUGCAGUAGACGUUGGUCUGUGGCUGGCGGGGUGGCGCACACACACGCUGGCCCCUCCUGGUAGCACUGGUUUGCAUUCGUUUAUGUUCCCCCCCAGAGUCUGUAUGGGCAGAUGUGCGUGCCCCACCGGGCACUCUCCAGGGGACUCUCAGUCACAGGAUUUCAUAUGUUGUCAUUGUCCCACUUUCGCAUUUUUGUACAUCAGUGGAUUUUUUAUAUUAAAAGGUUGAGCCAAAGCCCCCAGUGUUUGUAUUUUGAAGCCAAGCUUCACUUCUAAAGUGCCUACAGAGUCUGUAAGGAACACGCAGCUCUGCCCGAGUUUGAAGCCACCGUUCCUCCUUCUAAUGGGAAUGGCGCAUACGGAGGUGGUCGGAAGUUUUAACGUUUUAAAAUGUUAAAUAAAAGACUUUGCAUAUUGAA